Molecule: ribosomal RNA, 433 nt
Filed under: uncultured bacterium
Lineage: Bacteria
Description: partial 16S ribosomal RNA
Rfam family: Bacterial small subunit ribosomal RNA
Source: RNAcentral
AACGAACGCUGGCGGCAUGCCUAACACAUGCAAGUCGAACGGCACCUUCGGGACUAGUGGCUCACGCGUGCGUAGCGCGUGGGACCCUGGCGUUAGGCUCGGAAUUACACCUCGACGGGGGUGCUAAUACCGGGUAAUGUAUUCUGAUAACAGAUUCGACGCCUUUGGGUGGGCCCGCGUUGGUUUGGCCAGGUGGUAGGGUAAAAGCCUACCAAGGCGACGCUCCAUAGCUGGUCUGAGGGGAUGAUCAGCCACUCUGGGACUGUGACCCGGCCCGGACUCCUGCGGGAGGCAGCAGUGCGGAAUAUUGGACAAUGGGCGAGAUCAUGAACCAGCUAUGCCGCGUGAGUGAUGAAGGCCUUAGGGUUGUAAAGCUCGUUUACCCGGGAUGAUAAUGACGGUACCGGGAGAAUAAGCACCGGCUAACUCCGUG